Gorilla gorilla gorilla (western lowland gorilla) is the source of this 100-nucleotide unclassified non-coding RNA. It matches the Rfam family "Y RNA". From Rfam's summary of the family: Y RNAs are components of the Ro ribonucleoprotein particle (Ro RNP), in association with Ro60 and La proteins. The Y RNAs and Ro60 and La proteins are well conserved, but the function of the Ro RNP is not known. The record is from Ensembl. NCBI's taxonomy places the organism in Eukaryota, Metazoa, Chordata, Mammalia, Primates, Hominidae.
GACUGGUCCCUGAGUGGUGCUGUUUACAACUCAUUGAUUACAAUCAGUUAGAUUUCUUUGUUCCUUUUCCACGCCCACUGCUUCACUUGACUAGCCUUCA